CCCAGAGUAGCUCAGUCGGAUAGAGCGCCACUUUCGCAAAGUGGGGGCCGUGGGUUCGAAUCCCACCUUUGAUU
This 74-nucleotide transfer RNA is filed under the name Burkholderia glumae. RNAcentral describes it as "tRNA-Ala". It matches the Rfam family "tRNA". Rfam says of the family: Transfer RNA (tRNA) molecules are approximately 80 nucleotides in length. Their secondary structure includes four short double-helical elements and three loops (D, anti-codon, and T loops). Further hydrogen bonds mediate the characteristic L-shaped molecular structure. tRNAs have two regions of fundamental functional importance: the anti-codon, which is responsible for specific mRNA codon recognition, and the 3' end, to which the tRNAs corresponding amino acid is attached (by aminoacyl-tRNA synthetases). tRNAs cope with the degeneracy of the genetic code in two manners: having more than one tRNA (with a specific anti-codon) for a particular amino acid; and 'wobble' base-pairing, i.e. permitting non-standard base-pairing at the 3rd anti-codon position. Lineage: Bacteria; Pseudomonadati; Pseudomonadota; Betaproteobacteria; Burkholderiales; Burkholderiaceae. RNAcentral also lists the same sequence under 3 other names. The record is from RNAcentral.